GACAUGACGUGUGGCUGUCGUAAAAACCCUAUUUGUAAACAACCAGUCCUUUAACUCGGGGCUGCGUCAUAAACACGGAGCGCUUGGAAGACCACGAUGUCAUCUUCCUUCUGUCAGGAGGAUCAAAGUGAAGCUACAGGAGUUUCAUUAACGUCAACAACUUGGACCGAACAGUUUGUUUUGCUUGAUGAAGAGCAGGAAGGGCAGCCUGGAGAGAAAGAGUAGCCGGGUUGAGCCCACUACCAUCAUCCAUGUACCACGAGGAAGAUGAGGGAGAGAAAUGAUCCUACCAUUAAAGAGACUGUGAAAAGAACGUUGAGAACAUCACCACUCUACAGGAAGACACAGUCCAGUAAUGGGUGUCAGAAGUUCAGUAGUGAACGACAGGUACUGUGGGAAAAUGUGUGUCAUUGUUGUACAAUGUCCUUUGACUCUGUUUAAACAAGGUCAACACAAAAAGGUUUGAUUGUAAACUGAUAUCGGUACGAAUUCAUGUUAUUCUCCUCCUCAAAAGAAACAAACAAUCAAAAUUACCUGCAGAAAGCCAUUGAUGGACGCUUCAGCUGCAUCGUCAGACUGGCAGUACUGAUGCAUUUACUGAGACGGGACGUGAGGGCCUACUCUGCGUGCUCAGAGUUCAAGCCCAGCAGGCUGCAGCGGGCCUGACAUAUUCUGGAACAGCAGCACAGUCUUUAGAUGACUCCUCUGAAGAUGAAAACAUGGCGAGUUCUCUCAAGAGAAGCAGUACAGGUGUGCCUCAGCUCCACGGUCCCUCCUGCAGCCUCCGCUCCUGAUGCUAACCUCAUGUCUCCAUCACACCAAGCAGCAGACCUGGAUUGACAGACCUUUCUCCAUAGCCGCCCCCUCCCUCUGAAACCCCCCUCUCCAAAACACUAUUUGUGUAGUUUUUAAAGUAUU
Molecule: long non-coding RNA, 918 nt
Organism: Pleuronectes platessa (European plaice)
Lineage: Eukaryota; Metazoa; Chordata; Actinopteri; Pleuronectiformes; Pleuronectidae
Exons: 5
Source: RefSeq, a predicted model, not a curated record